Mangifera indica (mango) is the source of this 3872-nucleotide long non-coding RNA. RefSeq lists it as uncharacterized. NCBI's taxonomy places the organism in Eukaryota, Viridiplantae, Streptophyta, Magnoliopsida, Sapindales, Anacardiaceae. The record is from RefSeq and is a predicted model, not a curated record. The transcript is spliced from 2 exons.
CCAACAUCCGUCUAUCCGAAAGCAAAUUCUAGAAGGUUUUCUGGUUUUAAUUUAAAAAAUUUAACAAAGCUAUUGGUUUUGGCAUCUUAUUCUUUGCACCGUCUAUAAGAACCCUGCCUUAGUUUUUCACUUUUCGGAUCCAGAUAUCCAUCAUGUGGUUUCAGCUUAAGGAUCUCUUUCUACGGCGGCCGAUUUCUCAAUACAUCUCUUCCUCAGAUCUAUUUUCAACCGAAGAAUUUCAGAUUAAGCUGUUAAAGGCUAUUCUGUGGCUUUGCUUCUCUUUCAUGACCGCUCUAAUCUUGCAACAUCACGUCCAAAACUCUGCCGUUCCUUUUACGGGGUAUGUUGUCUUUGUGAUUUGCGUCAUGUUGUCCUUCACCGGGGCAUAUAGCGCGUUACUUAUCCCAAAAAAGCCCAAACUUGCACUUCUCUGGAGGUGUUAUUUUGUUCUUUCCGUUGUUUCUAUGGCUUCAGCUUUAUCAGUACUCGUAUAUGCCUUGUUUGUGGAAAGUUUCAUCUGGCUUCAUCGUGGAUUAAAUCGUUCUUAAAUGUCACAAAACUUAGCACGGCUCUUUAGACUUUUGGUACUGCAUAAAUUUUACUUUCCGGAACUUUUUUAUUACUGUAAUAUCUUCUCCUUUAUCAAAAGCUCUGGAAGUUAGAUAAAAUUUUAUGCUGUUCAUGGUUGUGAUGAUGUUUCGAGAUUGUUCAAAUGUUUUUUUUUUUCCCGAUUGAAUGACAAGAGUUGUUGUAUUUGUGUGCUAACUGAACUCUAUAAGAUUCAAGUGUGUUUGGGGAUUAAAUUCAAUACCUUCCACCCCAGUAAUGUUUGUGGCUCAAUCUUAGUAGUUUUUAGGCAAUUUAGUUUGUUUUAAUCUUUUUUGCGUUGAGUUUUCUUAAAUUUAUAUAUUUACAAGAAUAUUAGGUGUAAAUGUAUAUAUCUUUAUUUACAAGAAUAUUUUUACCUUUUUAGUAUGAAAAAUUUUGGUUGUAUUUUUAUAUUUUGGUGUUAAACGACUCUAGUAUAUGGUUGCCAACUGGGAGGUUCUGUAUUUUAAAGAUUGCCGUCUUAGGAGACAUAGAGUAUCGAUCUGUAGUACUGUUUGUCACUUAUGGGUUGAUAGGGAUCCGCUAUUGCUGGAGUUGAAUCUAUGCAAACUGAUGAUAAUGGAAAUAUAAGUUGCAUAUACUCAAACUCAGUUGCUUUGGUUGAAACUAUUCAAAUGGAUGAUAAUGGCAAUGAAGAUUUUGAAACUAUUUAAACAGAUGAUUUUUGAAAAGUUACAAGGCAGUCCAUCAGAUUUUGGGAAGCUGUUGGCACUCAUUGCGUAUGCUGCUUGAAUGGAACAUUGGCAAAAAGGUGUGCUGUAUAACUGCAGUGAAUGCAGAUGGGGAAGUUGUUGAGAUGGUUAACCAUCUAAAGCGCUGUCUUUAUUAUGAUCGAGAUAGAAAAUUAUUUCAGAUUAAUUGCUGUGUACAUAUUCUUGAUCUUCUUAUUAAAGAGGGAUUGCCUUGCACAUCUUCAAAUAAUGAUGAUAAUAAAUUCAAUUCACUUUUUGAUAGGUUCCUCCUCCGCCAACUCAAGCUCAUGUUCAUAUUGACCAUGAGAUAAUGGGACAAAUGAGUCAGAAGAGAUCAUAACACUACCUACUCAAAGUGACCAUGAUGAUAGGACGAUGGACUCAGAAGUAGAGAUCUUACCACCACCUCAAACUAAAAGAAGAAAAUUAGUAUCUAAGGUUUGGGUGAUCUUCACCAAGUUUAAGGAUGCAGAUAGAACAGAAUGGGAAAAAUGUGAACAUUGUGGGAAGAAGUAUGUAGCAUCAAUCAAAAAAGGAACCUCAAGCCUAUUGAAACAUAAAGAUAGAUAUCCUAUUCUGAAAAGUGGUAACGGGGAUAAACCUGCUGACGAUCAAGUGAGUGAUGAUGCUGUAACUCCUCUUCUUAGCAAAAACAAUGUGUUUGAUCGACAACAGAGUUGCAUGAUCAUAGCAACAAUGAUUAUUGAGCAUAGGUAUCCAUGCAGUAUGGUUGCUGAGGAAUUCUGAGAACAUUUUCACCAUAGACUGAAACCUUAAUCACAUGGUAGUUUGAAGGCUGACAUACUUCAUAAUUACAAAGAGAAGAAGAAACUCCGCAUAAUUUUUAAUAACAGUCACCUAGUUGUUUCAAUUUAACCAUUAAUUGGUGGAGACCUGUUACACGGGCUAUGUUUUAUUUGACUCUGCAUUUUAUUGACGCUUGUUGGGAACUGAACGCAAAAGUUCUUGCUUUUAAAAGAAUGGAAUUCUGCAACAGUUAUUGGGAGCUUUAUGGAACUUUAAAAGAAUGCUUAUGAAUUGGCACAUUGGCAAUAAUGUGUGCUCUAUAACUGCAAUCAAUACUAAGGAAUGCAAUAAGAUUGUUGAGGAGAUGAAUAAAUGGUUUUCUUAUCAAAAUUUAAUUUCUUUCUGUGGAAAGUUGUUACAUGUUCAAUGCUUUGUGCAUAUUCUUAAUCUUCUUUUUGAGGAUGGAUUACAGGAAGCAAAAAUUAUACUUUGUAAGAUAAUGACCAGAAUUUCUUAUGUCUGGAAGACAGCAAAACAUGAUGAAACUUGCAGAUGGGCAGUAGCUCAUGUGAGGUGCAAAGGCAAGAAGUGACUUCUGAAGAUAUGCCUAUAAGUUGGACUUUUGGUUUUCAAAUGCUAGAGGGAAUGUUAGAGUUGAGAGAACCACAUUUUGUGCUAGAGUGCAUAGAUUUGGGCUUCAGCUCAAAUCCAGUUAAGAAGGAAGGAACGGUAUAAAGUUUCUCUCACUUGGAAGUGUUUAAAGGUUUUAGAUAUUGUUCAGAACUUUUCAAGAAGUAGAUGUCUUACUACAAAUGUGUACCUUCCUCAAGUUUGCAAUUUAUAUCACCACCUGCUUCGAUGGGAUGAUCAAAGUGCCACUCAGAUGUUCUCCCACUGGCAUGUAAAAUGAAGGCAAGAUUUGAAAACUUGUGGACCAACUGCAUUGAGGUUUUAGCAAUUUCUGUAGUUCUUGACGCACAGUUCAAAUUUGAUAUACUGGAGAAUUUGUACAAGAAAAUCUAUGGUGUUGAAGCCAACAACUACUGCACAGGAAUUAAGCUCACUCUUACUAAAGCUUCCAACGAGUAUGCAGGUGGAUUCAAGAAUUCAGCAUAAUCCAUCUGCUUUAGCGUCUGGUGAUACUAGUUCUCUAACCUCAUAUGUUACUAAUCAUUUUGACAUGCUAGACCCCAUGGGAAUGCUGUGCAAUUCAAAUGAUGCUGAAGACGGUUCAUCACAUAAAACAGAACUUGAACAAUUUUUAGAAGAGGCUAAAUUUUGAUCAGUUAAAGACUUUGAGAUUCUUGGUUGGUGGCAUGUCAAUACUCCAAAUUUUCCAACAUUUGUGAAGAUGACCCACGAUUACUUAGCAAUACCUCUGUCAGCUGUUCAGUCAAAUCCCUCAUUAAAUGAUGAUGUUGUGAAGAUUGAUCCAGUCUCCACUGACCUAGAUCCUGAUAUCAUAGAAGCUUUGAUGUGCACAAGGGAUUGUUUUCAACUGCUGAAAGGAAGAACUGAAUUUUCAGGUAAGGUAAGUUUCCACUUUUCUUCUCUAGUAAUUGGUUAUACAAUAGUCCUAUGUGCUGUAUUUCAAAGUCAGAGAGCUUUUGUUAUUUCCUUUUUGUUUGCUUUUACCGUAGACUAGUGCAAAUGCUUAAAGAUUAUAUCAUGAAUUGCUUUUGAAUAACUACAUUGAUGGAAAAAAUUCAUUUGAUUAAUUGAGUUCUGACUGCAUCUGAAUGGACUGGUACUGAAUAAUGCCAGUUACAAGCUUUUCCUCAAAUUUCAUUCAAUGUUUAGUGAUUGCUUCUAUUUCUCUAGCAA